Molecule: ribosomal RNA, 631 nt
Filed under: Cronobacter sp.
Lineage: Bacteria; Pseudomonadati; Pseudomonadota; Gammaproteobacteria; Enterobacterales; Enterobacteriaceae
Description: bacterial SSU rRNA
Rfam family: Bacterial small subunit ribosomal RNA
Source: RNAcentral
UCUGGGAAACUGCCUGAUGGAGGGGGAUAACUACUGGAAACGGUAGCUAAUACCGCAUAACGUCUUCGGACCAAAGUGGGGGACCUUCGGGCCUCAUGCCAUCAGAUGUGCCCAGAUGGGAUUAGCUAGUAGGUGGGGUAACGGCUCACCUAGGCGACGAUCCCUAGCUGGUCUGAGAGGAUGACCAGCCACACUGGAACUGAGACACGGUCCAGACUCCUACGGGAGGCAGCAGUGGGGAAUAUUGCACAAUGGGCGCAAGCCUGAUGCAGCCAUGCCGCGUGUAUGAAGAAGGCCUUCGGGUUGUAAAGUACUUUCAGCGGGGAGGAAGGUGUUGUGGUUAAUAACCACAGCAAUUGACGUUACCCGCAGAAGAAGCACCGGCUAACUCCGUGCCAGCAGCCGCGGUAAUACGGAGGGUGCAAGCGUUAAUCGGAAUUACUGGGCGUAAAGCGCACGCAGGCGGUUGAUUAAGUCAGAUGUGAAAUCCCCGGGCUCAACCUGGGAACUGCAUUUGAAACUGGUCAGCUUGAGUCUCGUAGAGGGGGGUAGAAUUCCAGGUGUAGCGGUGAAAUGCGUAGAGAUCUGGAGGAAUACCGGUGGCGAAGGCGGCCCCCUGGACGAAGACUGA